UCUACUUCAACGUUUCAAUAGUUGUUUUUGUUUUAAGUAUGCUUCCGUAACACAGCCCUUCUAGGACAGCCAUUCCACUUCCUAUUAGUCCCAUUCAAAUGAAUAUAAUUUGCAAUACGUCUUGCAGUGACAGCAGGUUAAGGGUAGAAUAAAUUGAGGUUAGUUAUAAAAAGUAAUUUUAUAUAAAUCAAUGGAUUACAUAACAACCCAUUAGUCAUAUAGGCUGUGUUAGUGAUCAUAUUAUCAUUACUUUGAUUUAUUUAAGCAGAACUUUGCGCAUUUUUUUUUGUAUUGAAGGUGGCAGUGAUUGAGAAACAAAACAGUCGGUUGCUUUAGCUCGCCCGGGGCACCAGUUGGACGACGUUUCACAAUGAGAAAAUUCCAUUGGUCAUAAAGUAAUAUUCCUCUCACCUUGCGAGUUUAAAUGAAAUCACCAAAUCGACGCAUAUCUUAGUGGCUAGCUAUGUGAACAGUGUCUGGUAAACGCUAACCAGUACAAUCUUUGCUACCGGAGCAGCACGUGGAAAAUUGAUUCAGAUUAUAUGAGACCACAUGGUAUAUUCAAUUACAAACCAAAAUAAAACACCGUCAGGAAAAAGUUUGGAGUAAUGAAAACACGGAGAAGGCUAUAGGGGCAUGCAAAAAGGGCAUAUCAAUCCGUAAUGGCAUAUGUAAUGUUUAUAGUACCAAGGUCCACCACAAGUGACAGAAAAAGUGGAAAGGUUCCUCCCGACCAAGGCCAGACGGCACUGCCAUUAGGAGGUAGAAGAAACUCAGGAGAUAACGUCACGCCAUUAGGCCAAACAUAGUGGUUGUUUUUUAGACGGAGGCAAAACCCCAGAGCAUGCAGAAGGUAGACGACGUCCUUAAUAGAUGCAGAGCCAACCAGGCUACAAAACCUGAUAUGACUGAAUACUUUGAGCUCCUGGAGAAGACGCUGGAGCAACAUGGGUUGAAGGAUAAACAUUGUCAGAUGUAUAACUGUGCUGAGACAGGGUUCCAGAUGGAUGCAUCUAAAUGAAAGGUCCUUGCACCAAAGGGCUGGAAAAAGAAUUGCAUCCAGGCACUUGGUACACGUGUGUCAAUACUGGCUUGCUUUAAUGCAGCUGGUGAAGAUGUCCCCCCCUUUCAUAAUUUUUGGAAAGAGAUUCCCAGGAGGACCUUACACCAAGGAAGGUACAGCUAAUGCUCUCUAUGGCACAUUGCCAUCAGGAUACAUUGACAAUGAACUCUUCAGGGGGUGGUUUGGGAAUAAUUUCAUCAAGUAUGCUGUGAAAACAUGCCCCCUGCUGCUGGUGUUUAAUGGAAACAAAAGUCACCUGGAUCCGGAGGUGAUUGAGGCAGCAAGAAAAUAAAACGUUGUGCUCCUAGUUCUUCCUCCAAACAGCUCUCACAUUCUGAAGCCCCUGGAUUUGACCUACUUCUCUGCUUUGAAGACUGGGUUUUUCAAGGUGGCUGGAGACCUUUGCCACUUAAACUCCGUAGUCAUUUCCAAUAUGGACUUUCCCAUGGUUCUCCGUCAGCCGUACCAGCAAUGCAAAGAGCGGAAGAUUGUAGUCAGUGGGUUCAGAAAAGCUGGGAUCUUCCCCUUUAAUCCCAGUGCCAUAGAUUGGAGUAAAAUAGUUCCCUUGACAUCCAAAAAGCAACAGCCCCAAAGGACUGCGACUCCAUCAGCGCCACCAUCAGCAGUAACUCCCAGCAAGUACAUGUCCCACCCCCUGGGGGCAGCAGGACUGAAUAAUGCAGAAUUGGCUGAGGUCUUCACAGAGAUAGAUAAUCAAAAGAAGACGGCCCCAAGACCAAGUAAGAUGAAGACCCCACUGAAAGCUAGGGUUAUUACUGAGGAAGAGUAUGAGAGGGAGAUGAAACUGGAGUCGGCAAGGAAAAGAGACAGCAAGACACCGCCUCCUCGUAGCACAACCCCCGAUGCCGCGGAGAACCCCCAACCAGCCCUGCUACUUCUCCCUCAGGGUGAAACUGCAUCUCCUGCAGUCAAACAAACAAGUAAAUCCAGUAGAACUCCGAGCAGGUCACAUCAGAGUACUGAGGAGGGGAGAGACUGAGAACUGGAAGCUGAACAACAAAAUAGCAGAGGUCCUCAAACCAAGAGGGCUGGGUUGAGGCACAAGAGAUUGGACUAUGGUGAUAACUCCCAACGAUGAGGAUGGUUAUGGUAUCAAUCAAGCCUCAGCCAAGAUUGAAGCAAUGAGGAGAGCAAAGAUAAGGUGUUUGAUGCAAAGGAAGACGGUGCUGCUUUCAGAAUCGGAUCAUCACAGAUGACAGUUCAGAUGACGAACCCUUGGUUAAGAUGAUGACCAGGAAGCCAUCAAAUGAGGAGCUGAAAACAACAGUUAAGAAACUGAGUGCCGACCCAUGUCGACCUGGAGAAAGUCACAAUGAAGGAUGAAAUGAAGGACAUUUUCAAGAAGGUUUUUAAAAUGUACCCUCGUCAUGACCUGUCAAACAAGAAGUUGUACAUCAAGGAGACAGUGAAAAAGUUGUCGGAGUGUAGUCUGGAGUUCUUUGCUAAUCGCCACCUUCAAUGAGGCAGCAGGUAGCCUAGUGGUUAGCAUUGGGCUAGUAACCAAAAAGGUUUCUGGAUCGAAUCCCUAAGCUGACAAGGUAAAAAGUGUCGUUCUGCCCCUGAGUAAGGCAGUUUAACCCACUGUUCCCCGGGCGCCGAAGACGUGGAUGUUGAUUAAGGCAGCCCCCCGCACCUCUCUGAUUCAACUGACACAAUCAGUUGUGUUGUGACAAGGUAGGGGUGGUAUACAGAAGAUAGCCCUAUUUGGUAAAAGACCAAGUCCAUAUUAUGGCAACAACAACUCAAAUAACCAAAGAGAAACGACAGUCCAUCAUUAC
Long non-coding RNA from Oncorhynchus mykiss (rainbow trout), 2862 nucleotides. RefSeq lists it as uncharacterized. Lineage: Eukaryota; Metazoa; Chordata; Actinopteri; Salmoniformes; Salmonidae. The record is from RefSeq and is a predicted model, not a curated record.